This 300-nucleotide ribosomal RNA is filed under the name uncultured Methanosaeta sp. Its description in RNAcentral is "bacterial SSU rRNA". It matches the Rfam family "Bacterial small subunit ribosomal RNA", at positions 495 to 795 of the family's 1533-position model. The record is from RNAcentral. Lineage: Archaea; Methanobacteriati; Methanobacteriota; Methanomicrobia; Methanotrichales; Methanotrichaceae.
GGAUACAGCUGGGCCAGCAGCGGCGGUAAAAGUGGGGGUGCAAGAGUUAAGCGGAAUUAAGUGGCGUAAAGAGGACGUAGGUGGCUGGGUAAGGUAGAUGUGCAAUCCCGGGGUUUAACUUGGGAAGUUGAAUCAAGACUGCCUUGCUAGAGUGUGGAAGAGGGAAGCGGAAUGCCAGGUGUGGCGGUGAAAUGCGUAGAUAUCUGGAGGAACAUCAGUGGCGAAGGCGGCUUCCUGGUCCAACACUGACACUGAGGUGCGAAAGCGUGGGGAGCAAACAGGAUUAGAUACCCAGUAGUC